RNAcentral lists this ribosomal RNA (305 nucleotides) under uncultured bacterium. RNAcentral describes it as "bacterial SSU rRNA". It matches the Rfam family "Bacterial small subunit ribosomal RNA", at positions 335 to 655 of the family's 1533-position model. The record is from RNAcentral.
UCCCUACGGGGCGCAGCAGUGGGGAAUAUUGGGCAAUGGGCGCAAGCCUGACCCAGCAACGCCGCGUGAAGGAAGAAGGCUUUCGGGUUGUAAACUUCUUUUAAGAGGGACGAAGGAAGUGACGGUACCUCUUGAAUAAGCCACGGCUAACUACGUGCCAGCAGCCGCGGUAAUACGUAGGUGGCAAGCGUUAUCCGGAUUUACUGGGUGUAAAGGGCGUGUAGGCGGGAAAGCAAGUCAGAUGUGAAAACCAUGGGCUCAACCUGUGGCCUGCAUUUGAAACUGUUUUUCUUGAGUACUGGAGG